Lethenteron reissneri (Far Eastern brook lamprey) is the source of this 495-nucleotide long non-coding RNA. RefSeq lists it as uncharacterized. Lineage: Eukaryota; Metazoa; Chordata; Hyperoartia; Petromyzontiformes; Petromyzontidae. The record is from RefSeq and is a predicted model, not a curated record.
GGACACGUAAACUCCAAAUAUACAGCGGGCGUCAGGGUCGGGAUUGAACCCACGACCUGCUGCACACCAGGCGAGGGAGUUGACAUCUCUGCACCGUCGUCCCCCAAGGGAAACUACCACGUGUGUGGUUGCUCCACGCCGAUUUGAACUCGAGCGAGUCGGACGUCGCUCCCUGCUGCGCACCGCAGCUCUGCAAGCCCAGGUAGACGUCCGACUGCUGCACCCCCCACAGGGCGAGCUUUGCCUUCGGCAUCCGCACGUACAGGGUGGCGAUCCGCUCGAAUGCGGCUCGGAGGUGGUGGGUGCAACAACCGGGUUGCCUGGAUUCCCGAGGGGCGCGCGGAGAGAAGACAAUUGUUCACCGACGCUCGCGCGACGCCGCCGGCGUCGUGGCAGGAGUUUUGUGGGUUAGCGUUUUAAUGUCAGGAUGGGGGAGAGAGGUGGAGAGAGAAAAUUAACCCGUAAAAACAAAGUUUUUCACUAUAAAUCCUUUAU